Small nucleolar RNA from Echinops telfairi (small Madagascar hedgehog), 120 nucleotides. RefSeq annotates it as small nucleolar RNA SNORA65. The record is from RefSeq and is a predicted model, not a curated record. The transcript has a single exon. NCBI's taxonomy places the organism in Eukaryota, Metazoa, Chordata, Mammalia, Afrosoricida, Tenrecidae.
CUCACUACUGCACCUGACCAUUCUCUGCUGGCUGGUGCAACCCAGUGGUGAGCUGAGAGUAAACCCCAGCUUAGGAAACAGGGUUGUGGAUGAUUCUGUGCUGAAAGUGUGGGGACAGUC